RNAcentral lists this ribosomal RNA (483 nucleotides) under uncultured bacterium. RNAcentral describes it as "partial 16S ribosomal RNA". It matches the Rfam family "Bacterial small subunit ribosomal RNA", at positions 30 to 507 of the family's 1533-position model. The record is from RNAcentral.
AUUGAACGCUGGCGGCAGGCCAACACAUGCCAGUCGGGCGGAUGAAGGGAGCUUUCUCCUGGAUUCAGCGGCGGACGGGUGAGGAAUGCCUUGGAAUCUGCCUGGUUGUGGGGGGUAAAGUCCGGGAACGGGCGGUAAUACCGCAUUAGUCCUGGGGGAGAAAGUUGGGGGUCUUCGGACCUCACGCCAUCCAGUGAGCCUAGGUCGGAUUAGCUAGUUGGUGGGGUAAAGGCCUACCAAGGCGACGAUCCGUAACUGGUCUGAGAGGAUGAUCAGUCACACUGGAACUGAGUCACGGUCCAGACUCCUACGGGAGGCAGCAGUGGGGAAUAUUGGACAAUGGGCGAAAGCCUGAUCCAGCCAUGCCGCGUGUGUGAAGAAGGUCUUCGGAUUGUAAAGCACUUUAAGUUGGGAGGAAGGGCAGUAAGUUAAUACCUUGCUGUUUUGACGUUACCAACAGAAUAAGCACCGGCUAACUUCGUG